Molecule: ribosomal RNA, 460 nt
Filed under: uncultured Methylomirabilota bacterium
Lineage: Bacteria; Methylomirabilota (SeqCode)
Description: bacterial SSU rRNA
Rfam family: Bacterial small subunit ribosomal RNA
Source: RNAcentral
GGGCUUGACAUCCCACGAACCUGCCCGAAAAGGUGGGGUGCCCGCAAGGGAGCGUGGAGACAGGUGGUGCAUGGCUGUCGUCAGCUCGUGUCGUGAGAUGUUGGGUUAAGUCCCGCAACGAGCGCAACCCUCACCCCUAGUUGCCACCGGGUUAAGCCGAGCACUUAAGGGGAACUGCCAGCGUCAAGCUGGAGGAAGGCGGGGAUGACGUCAAGUCAUCAUGCCCCUUACGCCCUGGGCUACACACGUGCUACAAUGGCCAGCACAAAGGGACGCGAGACUGCGAAGUGGAGCUAAUCCCAAAAAGCUGGUCUAAGUUCAGAUUGCAGUCUGCAACUCGACUGCAUGAAGGAGGAAUCGCUAGUAAUCGCGUAUCAGCCCGGCGCGGUGAAUACGUUCCCGGGCCUUGUACACACCGCCCGUCACACCACGAAAGCUGUCUGUACUCGAAGUCGCUGAG